Molecule: long non-coding RNA, 413 nt
Organism: Marmota monax (woodchuck)
Lineage: Eukaryota; Metazoa; Chordata; Mammalia; Rodentia; Sciuridae
Exons: 4
Source: RefSeq, a predicted model, not a curated record
CAGAUUCCAGGUGCCAGCUGCUAAGGGCAAUUUUUCCCUGCUUUCCAGGAGGCUCCAGAUAAAGGAAAGGAAAGGACAAGUGGUAAUGGAAAUGUACAGCACUCAAAUGCUCAAAUAGGGGAAGGUUUACAUGUGCAAGCAGCCCUGCUCUGCUAUGUGCUCCUCACCAUAAGCCCAUAGUGGUGUGAAAACCAACCAGGGACUGAAACCUCCGAAACUUGGCUAGAAUGCAAGAACAAUAGCUUCAACUAUGAGCUCCCCUGUGAUGAUGAUUAAGCAACAAGAGAAGAAAGGUUCCUGAGUGCCACGUUCCCAGCUGCUUUCCUCCACGACACACUUCUGCCAUGAUAUUCUGCCUCACCUCAUCCCCAAGGAAUGGAGCCAACUAUAUAUGGAUAGUGACCUCUGAAACU